This 465-nucleotide ribosomal RNA is filed under the name uncultured bacterium. Its description in RNAcentral is "partial 16S ribosomal RNA". It matches the Rfam family "Bacterial small subunit ribosomal RNA", at positions 338 to 795 of the family's 1533-position model. The record is from RNAcentral.
CCUACGGGAGGCAGCAGUAGGGAAUCUUCCACAAUGGACGGAAGUCUGAUGGAGCAACGCCGCGUGAGUGAAGAAGGGAUUCGGCUCGUAAAGCUCUGUUGGUAGUGAAGAAAGAUAGAGGUAGUAACUGGCCUUUAUUUGACGGUAAUUACUUAGAAAGUCACGGCUAACUACGUUCCAGCAGCCGCGGUAAUACGUAGGUGGCAAGCGUUGUCCGGAUUUGUUGGGCGUAAAGGGAGUGCAGGCGGUUCAAUAAGUCUGAUGUGAAAGCCUUCGGCUCAACCGGAGAAUUGCAUCAGAAACUGUUGAACUUGAGUGCAGAAGAGGAGAGUGGAACGCCAGGUGUAGCGGUGGAAUGCGUAGAUAUAUGGAAGAACACCAGUGGCGAAGGCGGCUCUCUGGUCUGCAACUGACGCUGAGGCUCGAAAGCAUGGGUAGCGAACAGGAUUAGAUACCCUUGUAGUC